This 1034-nucleotide ribosomal RNA is filed under the name Murilentithecium clematidis. Its description in RNAcentral is "SSU rRNA". It matches the Rfam family "Eukaryotic small subunit ribosomal RNA", at positions 54 to 1103 of the family's 1831-position model. The record is from RNAcentral. Lineage: Eukaryota; Fungi; Ascomycota; Dothideomycetes; Pleosporales; Lentitheciaceae.
CGCGUCUAGUUAGCAAUUAUACCGUGAAACUGCGAAUGGCUCAUUAAAUCAGUUAUCGUUUAUUUGAUAGUACCUUACUACAUGGAUAACCGUGGUAAUUCUAGAGCUAAUACAUGCUAAAAAUCCCAACUUCGGAAGGGAUGUAUUUAUUAGAUAAAAAACCAAUGCCCUCCGGGGCUCCUUGGUGAUUCAUAAUAACUUCUCAGAUCGCAUGGCCUUGCGCCGGCGACGGUUCAUUCAAAUUUCUGCCCUAUCAACUUUCGAUGGUAAGGUAUUGGCUUACCAUGGUUUCAACGGGUAACGGGGAAUUAGGGUUCGAUUCCGGAGAGGGAGCCUGAGAAACGGCUACCACAUCCAAGGAAGGCAGCAGGCGCGCAAAUUACCCAAUCCCGAUACGGGGAGGUAGUGACAAUAAAUACUGAUACAGGGCUCUUUAGGGUCUUGUAAUUGGAAUGAGUACAAUUUAAACCUCUUAACGAGGAACAAUUGGAGGGCAAGUCUGGUGCCAGCAGCCGCGGUAAUUCCAGCUCCAAUAGCGUAUAUUAAAGUUGUUGCAGUUAAAAAGCUCGUAGUUGAACCUUUGGCCUGGCUGGCGGGUCCGCCUCACCGCGUGCACUCGUCCGGCCGGGCCUUUUCUUCUAGAGAACCGCAUGCCCUUCACUGGGUGUGUUGGGGACUAGGACUUUUACUUUGAAAAAAUUAGAGUGUUCAAAGCAGGCCUUUGCUCGAAUACGUUAGCAUGGAAUAAUAGAAUAGGACGUGCGGUCCUAUUUUGUUGGUUUCUAGGACCGCCGUAAUGAUUAAUAGGGACAGUCGGGGGCAUCAGUAUUCAAUUGUCAGAGGUGAAAUUCUUGGAUUUAUUGAAGACUAACUACUGCGAAAGCAUUUGCCAAGGAUGUUUUCAUUAAUCAGUGAACGAAAGUUAGGGGAUCGAAGACGAUCAGAUACCGUCGUAGUCUUAACCAUAAACUAUGCCGACUAGGGAUCGGGCGGGGUACUAUUUUGACUCGCUCGGCACCUACCAAAAAUCAAAU